RNAcentral lists this ribosomal RNA (40 nucleotides) under Pythium aphanidermatum. Its description in RNAcentral is "partial 18S ribosomal RNA". Lineage: Eukaryota; Oomycota; Peronosporomycetes; Pythiales; Pythiaceae. The record is from RNAcentral.
CUGGGGGGUCAGGUUUACAUAGUGACUGCGGAGGACAUUA